UUCAAAACAUGUCACAAGUACUAUUUCAGUUAAUGUUGAUUUGUUAAUUUAUAUAACAAGCUGUUAGGAAUGCUCGUAUAUUUGUAUCUGAUGCUAAAAAUUUUUAGUCUUGUCUAAUGGUUCCAAGCUGAACUAUUUAGAUUUUAGAGCUAUGCUUUGUCCUGUUGUAUCCACUAGAAGGGCCCACGCAAUCACAAUGUCUAUGACUGGCUUUAUUGUGAGGCCCAGUGAACACUAGUCCUAUGCCACAAUGCUUGUGAGCCCAUGCGAUCAUGCGAGCGAGUAGGAUUUGACACCAUUGUAAGACAUGAACUCACCCAAUAGGCUAACCAAAGGUUGUCAUUUAAGUUAAUUUCUCCUACUUAUAUACCGAAGACCCCCAUGUGGAGUUCUAAUGUGGUACGCAACAUGUGCUAUCACAAGCCGUGGUCAUUACAAAAGGAUUGAUGCUCCUAGCAAAUUGUAUUAUUUGAGACAAGUUAGAUUUUGAUACAGCUAGCAACGUAUAGGGUCAAAACAGGGUAAUGUUCUUUUUACAUUUUAUGAUACUUGAAUGGUGAAGCUUGGAUUGUUGUUUAACUUUUUCUGAUCUUGUAAUGCGUUUUCAUCACUUUGUUGGUACCUAAAUAAGGAUUUCUUACUUGAUUACUAAUUUUUUUUUGGGUUCAAGAACUUCAAAACUUGAAUAAGUUUAUAAAAGUUAUCUGUAUGGAUAUGCAUUUAAAUACAUUUAUCACUAUUUUUCCAAUGAUCUUAACCUAUUAUCCUAGGAUUUUCCAUACCGUUGCGUGUAUGUCAUAUCAUAUAUUUAUCUUGUAUUUAUCUGUGUGCUUUAUUGUUAUUCUUGGUUCACUCAUUGGUCCUAUAGUUUUUGAGUGGUGCUACAUGCACCAAUUAGUAUAUUAACUAGUGUAUCAAUACUAGUUAUGACAUUAUUAUUGAUCUCACUCAUUAUACAAAUUACAAAUAUCAAAGACAUCUUAAAUUAUGCCACCUCAUCAAUUGGUACACUAGUUAGUGCACUAAUUGGUGCAUAUAGCAUUAGUCAUAGUUUUUGCAUGAUCAAACAAAUCUCACUUGACUUAUGGUGCUACCUCUCUCCAGAUUUAGAGUAUGUUUAAGAGCAUAAUUAAAUGCUUAAAACUGAAUGCAUUUAAUGUUUGCACAAUUGCGUUUGAUAAUGCAUAAUCACUUACCACUUAAAUAUGAAAAUUCACUGAAAAUGAGUCUUAAUUUUAAGCUGGAUAGACGUGACUUGUUGUCACCCAGUCAUGAAUAUGCUACGUAGAAGGUAGCUUUCCUUUUCAUUCUCAGCUAACAUAUUAACUUCAACGUGCAGUUCAGUGAAGCAUUUAUUGCCCCUACUAUUGUCAAGGUGAUCUUUCAAUUAGCUUUGAGAUAGUUGAAGACAACCAUUCCAAUUUGAAGUAGUGAUCAAUUUUUUUUUAGCCUACAAUUAGGUUGUUGGGCCAGACCCUUGUAAACUUUUGUUGGGCUUUUGGCUAAGGACCUGUACGAGGACUAGAGCACAACUGUCCUGAGAUAAAAAGAGGGUGCUGGCUGUUUGCUUGAGUGGUUUCCCCUGCCACUCCAACAGUUGAGGUGCUGGGUUUUACGUCUUGGUUGGAAAACAGUUUUGUCUACUAACAACAACCAGCACCGCAAGAAGUAAGAAAGGAAAACAAAACCAACUUAUAUAUAUAAAAAAAAAGGAAAAAAAAAUAUAAUAAUAAAUUUAAAAGAGGGACUAAAAGUCUAG
Molecule: non-coding RNA, 1759 nt
Organism: Camellia sinensis
Lineage: Eukaryota; Viridiplantae; Streptophyta; Magnoliopsida; Ericales; Theaceae
Source: RefSeq, a predicted model, not a curated record